UCUCCUGCCAUUCAAAACGGGUGCCUUUUUGUCGAAAGCCCCUGUCCUUCCAUAUAUUUUAAGAUAUCCCUAUCAGAGAUUUAGUCUGGCCUGGGAAUCAAUAACAGGAGGCCGUCAUUUUUUACUUCUUCUCUGUCAAUUUGUAAAUCACAUGGAGGUAAUAAGAUUGCCUGUCUACGUUCCAUCACCAGAAGAAAAGGAUGAUCCGAAGCUUUAUGCUAAUAAUAUCAGAAGGUUGAUGGCGAAAGAG
RNAcentral lists this unclassified non-coding RNA (250 nucleotides) under Hevea brasiliensis (rubber tree). Lineage: Eukaryota; Viridiplantae; Streptophyta; Magnoliopsida; Malpighiales; Euphorbiaceae. The record is from RNAcentral.